RNAcentral lists this ribosomal RNA (1090 nucleotides) under Stigmella lycii. RNAcentral's name for it is "SSU rRNA". It matches the Rfam family "Eukaryotic small subunit ribosomal RNA", at positions 33 to 1151 of the family's 1831-position model. The record is from RNAcentral. Lineage: Eukaryota; Metazoa; Arthropoda; Insecta; Lepidoptera; Nepticulidae.
UUUCUCAAGAUUAGCCAUGCAUGUCUAGUAUAGCAAUUAUACCGUGAAACUGCGAAUGGCUCAUUAAAUCAGUUAUCGUUUAUUUGAUAGUACCUUACUACUUGGAUAACCGUGGUAAUUCUAGAGCUAAUACAUGCUGAAAACCCCGACUUCGGAAGGGGUGUAUUUAUUAGAUAAAAAACCAACGCCCUUCGGGGCUUCUUGGUGAUUCAUAAUAACUUUACGGAUCGCAUGCCUUGCGCCGGCGACGGUUCAUUCAAAUUUCUGCCCUAUCAACUUUCGAUGGUAAGGUAUUGGCUUACCAUGGUUUCAACGGGUAACGGGGAAUUAGGGUUCGAUUCCGGAGAGGGAGCCUGAGAAACGGCUACCACAUCCAAGGAAGGCAGCAGGCGCGCAAAUUACCCAAUCCCGACACGGGGAGGUAGUGACAAUAAAUACUGAUACAGGGCUCUUUUGGGUCUUGUAAUUGGAAUGAGUACAAUUUAAACCUCUUAACGAGGAACAAUUGGAGGGCAAGUCUGGUGCCAGCAGCCGCGGUAAUUCCAGCUCCAAUAGCGUAUAUUAAAGUUGUUGCAGUUAAAAAGCUCGUAGUUGAAACUUGGGUCUGGCUGGCAGGUCCGCCUCACCGCGUGUACUUGUCCGGCCGGGCCUUCCUUCUGGAGAACCUCAUGCCCUUCACUGGGCGUGUUGGGGACCAGGACUUUUACUUUGAAAAAAUUAGAGUGUUCAAAGCAGGCCUUUGCUCGAAUACGUUAGCAUGGAAUAAUAGAAUAGGACGUGCGUUCCUAUUUUGUUGGUUUCUAGGAACGCCGUAAUGAUUAAUAGGGACAGUCGGGGGCAUCAGUAUUCAAUUGUCAGAGGUGAAAUUCUUGGAUUUAUUGAAGACUAACUACUGCGAAAGCAUUUGCCAAGGAUGUUUUCAUUAAUCAGUGAACGAAAGUUAGGGGAUCGAAGACGAUCAGAUACCGUCGUAGUCUUAACCGUAAACUAUGCCGACUAGGGAUCGGGCGAUGUUCUUUUUCUGACUCGCUCGGCACCUUACGAGAAAUCAAAGUUUUUGGGUUCUGGGGGGAGUAGCCGCCAAGSGSSU